RNAcentral lists this ribosomal RNA (460 nucleotides) under uncultured bacterium. RNAcentral's name for it is "partial 16S ribosomal RNA". It matches the Rfam family "Bacterial small subunit ribosomal RNA", at positions 28 to 507 of the family's 1533-position model. The record is from RNAcentral.
GACGAACGCUGGCGGCGUGCUUAACACAUGCAAGUCGAGCGGUAAGGCCUCUUCGGGGGUACACGAGCGGCGAACGGGUGAGUAACACGUGGGUGACCUGCCCUCAGCUCUGGGAUAAGCCUGGGAAACUGGGUCUAAUACCGGAGAUGACCUUUCCUCGCAUGGGGUUUGGUGGAAAGUUUUUUCGGCUGGGGAUGGGCCCGCGGCCUAUCAGCUUGUUGGUGGGGUGAUGGCCUACCAAGGCGACGACGGGUAGCCGGCCUGAGAGGGCGACCGGCCACCCUGGGACUGAGACACGGCCCAGGCUCCUUCGGGAGGCAGCAGUGGGGGAUAUUGCGCAAUGGGCGGAAGCCUGACGCAGCGACGCCGCGUGGGGGAUGGCGGCCUUCGGGUUGUAAACCUCUUUCGACCCCGACGAAUUUGGACGGUAGGGGUAGAAGAAGCACCGGCCAACUACGUG